Molecule: ribosomal RNA, 490 nt
Filed under: uncultured bacterium
Lineage: Bacteria
Description: partial 16S ribosomal RNA
Rfam family: Bacterial small subunit ribosomal RNA
Source: RNAcentral
GAUGAACGCUAGCGGCAGGCCUAAUACAUGCAAGUCGAACGGGAUCCAGAUCAAAGCUUGCUUUGGUCUGGUGAGAGUGGCGCACGGGUGCGUAACGCGUGAGCAACCUACCCUUGUCAGGGGGAUAGCCCGGCGAAAGUCGGAUUAAUACCGCAUGACAUCAUUGAGAGGCAUCUUUCGAUGAUCAAAGAUUUAUCGGACAAGGAUGGGCUCGCGUGACAUUAGCUAGUUGGUAAGGUAACGGCUUACCAAGGCUGCGAUGUCUAGGGGCUCUGAGAGGAGAAUCCCCCACACUGGUACUGAGACACGGACCAGACUCCUACGGGAGGCAGCAGUAAGGGAUAUUGGUCAAUGGACGGAAGUCUGAACCAGCCAUGCCGCGUGCAGGAAGACGGCCCUAUGGGUUGUAAACUGCUUUUAUACGGGAACAAACGUCGGUACGCGUACCGGUCUGAGUGUACCGUAAGAAUAAGGAUCGGCUAACUCCGUG